GAGUUUGAUCAUGGCUCAGAUUGAACGCUGGCGGCAUGCCUUACACAUGCAAGUCGAACGGCAGCACGGGAGCUUGCUCCUGGUGGCGAGUGGCGAACGGGUGAGUAAUGCAUCGGAACGUAUCCUGGAGUGGGGGAUAACGUAGCGAAAGUUACGCUAAUACCGCAUAUUCUGUGAGCAGGAAAGCGGGGGACCUUCGGGCCUCGCGCUCUUGGAGCGGCCGAUGUCGGAUUAGCUAGUUGGUGAGGUAAAGGCUCACCAAGGCGACGAUCCGUAGCAGGUCUGAGAGGAUGAUCUGCCACACUGGAACUGAGACACGGUCCAGACUCCUACGGGAGGCAGCAGUGGGGAAUUUUGGACAAUGGGGGCAACCCUGAUCCAGCCAUGCCGCGUGAGUGAAGAAGGCCUCGGUUGUAAGUUAC
Molecule: ribosomal RNA, 422 nt
Filed under: bacterium enrichment culture clone ALO1_GLFRUDD03GSPD4
Lineage: Bacteria
Description: bacterial SSU rRNA
Rfam family: Bacterial small subunit ribosomal RNA
Source: RNAcentral